This 1111-nucleotide long non-coding RNA is filed under the name Homo sapiens (human). RNAcentral describes it as "non-protein coding lnc-KLHDC7A-5:1". Lineage: Eukaryota; Metazoa; Chordata; Mammalia; Primates; Hominidae. The record is from RNAcentral.
AGACUGCCACUCUACCCGUUUUCUUGUUCCCUUGAGAUGGUCAGGGGAUGUGAACCUUCCACUUCACAGGGGCUGCCAGCCUUGGUGACCCCAGGAUGGGGGCCAGCUCUGUCAGGCUUCUGGAGGCAAGACUGGGUGCCUGGACUGUGCUGGGGAUUGAAGGAGCAGGUACAUCCCCUUCCUCCCCUGGGCCAUCAACUCCUUCAUCCGCCUGGGACCUGCUGCCAGCCUCAUCCACCACGUGUCUUUGUUGCCCUGGGUGGUGGCAGGGAAUGAGGGUGCCAUCCUUUGAGUGUGAGCUUCUGGAGCUCUUACACUCAAAGCAUCAGAGGUGAAAGUGGCAGGAGAGUGCCCAGCCAGGAACCAUGGGCCAGGAAGCAGCCCAUCCUCGGAGGUGGCAGGUCACUGGCCUGUCAAAGCCUCCAUUCCCUUAUCUGCAAAAUGAGAGAAGUAACGCCCCUGGAUGGGGUAUCGCAGGGAGAAAAUGACAUCACUCUGGCAAGGGCUGGCAAAUAAUAUCAAUACCAAUAACAAGCUACUGUUUAUUGAGCACUGACUAUAGACCAAAUGCUGUCUAAACACUUACAUAUAUCAGCUUAUUUAAUCCCCAUAGCAACCCUAGGGGUGGGUACUGUCAUUGUCCCCAUUCUAUAGAUGAGGAGACAGAGACACAGAAAGGCAAUCAUUUGCUCAAGAUCCCACAGGAUUUGAAGUGGGAUUCAAACUCUGGUGGUUUGGCUUCAGCAUCUACACUCUCAUUUAGUACCUUCUUUAAAAUGUUAGUUCCUCCCCCAAACUCCAGCCCCACACACACGCAGUCUGCCCAGGCAAAUAGAGCCAUUAGCUAUAGGUGUGAGCACUCCAGUUAAAAAUUCCAGGGAUUAAAGCAUCUACACUGGCAAGGAUAGAAGUGUCUACACUGCAAGGAGGAUUUUUCCUCUAGUGCUGGAGAGAAAUGUGCACGUAACACCACCAAAGGAGAUGCAACCAGGUUAUUGGGGUUAUAAAUGUCCCCUAAGCUGAGCUUCUGCCUCUACUUCCCUUUUGUUUCUUCAACACUCCCCACAAGAGGCUGUGUACACAGUGGGAGCCUGGCUGAUGCUGGCUAACU